CCAAGUCAUAGGCCUUGCCACACUCAAAAAGAUGGAUACCACAGAUAUGAGUAUUAGAAGGCAAGGAUAACUGGGGAUGAUCCCAGAGUUUGACUAGGGCCACUCCUUCUGAAGUCCAAUUCAUACAAGUCUAUGGUAUGAAGAACAGACUUCUGGUUUGAUGCAGAGGCAGAAAUGGUGGUCCCCUCUCUUGAGAAACCUUGAAAUAUCAGACAAGAAAGCAAAUUUCUCCUGUUUAAUGAAAUAGGAUACAUCUGUAAUCCUGAACCUCAAUAUAAAAAGUUCACAAAUAAUAGAAAAAUCUCACAGGGGUGCAUAAAGGGCCAGGAAAAUAUGCUCAUGGUUAUAGAAAUUAGACAAAGCUAGCAGACAGGAGUUCUCAAAACAUGAGCAUACCCCAAGGUACAAAACCACAGUUUGCAAAUCAAAUUUUCCAUUGACCCUUUUUGGUAUGAAGUCUUGAAAAGCUAGGAAGGUGGCGCUGAAUGAAGAAUCACAAACAAACCAUGUUUGCAAGAAGCAGUCUGUCAGGAUGACAGGAAGAAAGAAAGAGACUCUAUAUUGGGAAUAUUCUGCUGUGCCAAUCUAGUUUGGCUGGGGAGGAAUGAAGACGAGAGGAACACACACUUACAAAAUCCCAUCAUAAGGAAGAUUCCUGCUGGGCUGGCACAGGGCUCUGGCACCUCCCAGACACAAAUUUCCUGCACAUAGCUUACCCAGAAACAAUUCACCUAAUUCACACGUGAUUAUUAACUUAAAGGAAUACAUAUAAGACCAAUAAAGGCAUUAUAAGAAGAAAGGGUAAAAGCAACAGGAAAAGCAAAACAACUUGAAAACACAUGCAUAAGAAAACUGUUGCAACAGGGCAGGUGAAAAUUUUAACAACCACGUCACAAUUUAAAAAUAAUAAUGAUCCGGGUACGGUGGCUCACGCCUGCAAUCUCAGCACUUUGGGAGGCUGAGGCGGGUGGAUCACUUGAGGUCAGGAGUUCAAGAUCAGCCUGGUCAACAUGGUGAAACCCCAUCUCUACUAAAAAUACAAAAUUAGCUGGGCAUGUUGGCACAUGUCUGUAAUCCCAGCUACUCGGGAGGCUGAGGCAGGAGAAUUGCUUGAACCCAGGAGUUGGAGGUAACAGUGAGCCAGGAUUG
Molecule: long non-coding RNA, 1149 nt
Filed under: Homo sapiens (human)
Lineage: Eukaryota; Metazoa; Chordata; Mammalia; Primates; Hominidae
Description: non-protein coding lnc-FAM78B-5:1
Source: RNAcentral